Molecule: long non-coding RNA, 542 nt
Organism: Syngnathus typhle (broad-nosed pipefish)
Lineage: Eukaryota; Metazoa; Chordata; Actinopteri; Syngnathiformes; Syngnathidae
Exons: 3
Source: RefSeq, a predicted model, not a curated record
UCGGCUAACAAGGGAAGGGGGAUCAGCCAUAUUUUUUAACACGUGAGCGUGACAGAGCACUUUGCGAGCUGAAUCAGGCUGCUGGUAUGUUUUGUACAUGGUCGUAAUGUGAAGCACAUUUUCUCAGAGUGGCUGGCAUGUGGCAAGCGGCGAGGGCUAGGAAACAGCUGAUGACGAAGGAUUAGGACCGACUUGGUGGAAUGGGGCCGACCGCAUCAGAGGAGCGCAUACAUACCGGGAUUUUGAUGCACACUGAGAAACAUCCUAGAAGCCAGAGCUCUGCGCUCCAAAGGAAAUUCCAAACAGUCACGUGGGAAAGGAGCAGAUGCAUACCAGCAUAAUAAAUCCUCCGCUUCGUAUCGAAAAGGGGCUGCUGCUUCAGAUGGAGAGACGUCUUAGAUGUUCAGAGUCCGAGGGGUCUGAGAGGUUAAUCUGCGCUGUCCCGGGAGCCUGCCGGAGGAUGGAUGUCUCAGAAGCGGACUGUUUGGAUAGUCAAAUCACAGCACCGCGGGGGGGGGACUGCUCUCCUCUCUCACAAAGAG